Antechinus flavipes (yellow-footed antechinus) is the source of this 1557-nucleotide long non-coding RNA. RefSeq lists it as uncharacterized. The record is from RefSeq and is a predicted model, not a curated record. Lineage: Eukaryota; Metazoa; Chordata; Mammalia; Dasyuromorphia; Dasyuridae. The transcript has 3 exons.
GCCACGUUCCACCUUGACCCCUGACCUCCAACCCUGGUUCUGUUCAAUCCACCCAGCAUGGAGGAAACCCCCACCCUGCGCCACGUGGGCCCUGUGCCAGGCGCCGGGAAACAAGGACGAUCCUUAAGCAAUCCCCGCUCUCUGGGAGCCUAUAAUUCUACCAGGGAAGCCAUGUGCAGGCAGGAGUAAGGGGGAAGGGGGGUCUGGAAAAGCUGCUGGCGGGAGGCCCCUUCGCUGAGCCCAGAGGAAGCCAGAGCACGCCGGGCAGGGGGCGCAGCCCCUGCAAAUGCCUGGACUCUGGACUUGUCCAAGUCAUUCUCAGACUUGACUGGUCAGACUUGAGCAGGUCAUUCUCCUGCUCCAAAACCUUCCAUAGCUCCCCAUUGCCUCUCAGGGCCCAAAAUACCCCACUUCCAAGAUGACGCCCUCAGCUGGGCAGGCUGGCCCUUUGCACACCUGUAUGCAUACCCCUUUGACAAGUGAGUGGAGGCUGAAGGAAUAUCUGUGGCAAGGAGGCCUUGAGGAGGCGACCAUGACACUUAAGGCAGGGGGCGAUGAAGGUCUGAAUUAGGAGAAUGGCUAGGAGUCAGCCGGGAGAAUUGCCGUGGGGGUGGGUGAGAACGAGGAGUCAAGGAUGGCCCAGAGAGUGAGACCCUGGGUGAUGGCGGAAAGGAGUCAGGGGAAGGGAUGAAUCCGAACUCAUGAAGAUGAGUUUUCCCAAUUUCAAGGUCAGCGUUCUAUCCACUGCAGCGCCACCUAGCUGCCCACCCUCAGAGACAUCCUUACAUUUGAAAUGCUCCACUUCUCCAAAGCAAAAAGUAGGUGUCUUAGCCCAGUCUCAGCAAAAGGAGUGCGGCGAGUUAGAAUGCCAAGGGAGGAAUCUUCUGGGCCAAACUCAGCUCUCUCCCCCGCCAACGUGUCAAUCCCCCUGCAGCCAAUGUCUUCUCAAAAUUAGGGACAAUUCACUCUCCCAAAGACGGAGCCAGGAUUGGGCAGCGGUCUCCAAAUUCGGGGAUCCAGGAGGGCCAGUGGGAGUGAGAUGGAGGAGCAUCAGGGCUGGUUUGGAACUUUGGGAAGGAUGGGGUUGAGAGCCGGAAUCCCUGGGGACAAGGAAGGUCACCAAGUCAUUGGGCUGGAUUGGAGGAGAGGAUGGGGAUGAUGUCAUCAGAGAUGGGGAUGAUGUCAUCUAAGGCUGGAUUGGAGGAGAGGAUGGGGAUGAUGUCAUCUGAGGCUGGAUUGGAGGAGAGGAUGGGAAUGAUGUCAUCUGAGGCUGGAUUGGAAGAGAGGAUGGGGAUGAUGUCAUCAGAGAUGGGGAUGAUGUCAUCUAAGGCUGAAUUGGAGGAGAGGAUGGCGAUGAUGUCAUCUGAGGCUGGAUUGGAGGAGAGGAUGGGAAUGAUGUCAUCUGAGGCUGGAUUGGAAGAGAGGAUGGGGAUGAUGUCAUCAGAGAUGGGGAUGAUGUCAUCUGAGGCUGGAUUGGAGGAGAGGAUGGGGAUGAUGUCAUCAGAGAUGAGGAUGAUGUCAUCUAAGGUUGGAUUGGAGGAGAGGAUAAAGAUGAUG